UCCUACGGGACGCAGCAGUGGGGAAUAUUGGGCAAUGGGCGCAAGCCUGACCCAGCAACGCCGCGUGAAGGAAGAAGGCUUUCGGGUUGUAAACUUCUUUUGUCAGGGACGAAGCAAGUGACGGUACCUGACGAAUAAGCCACGGCUAACUACGUGCCAGCAGCCGCGGUAAUACGUAGGGGGCAAGCGUUAUCCGGAUUUACUGGGUGUAAAGGGAGCGCAGGCGGCGCGGUAAGUCUGAUGUGAAAGCCCGGGGCUCAACCCCGGGACUGCAUUGGAAACUGUCGUGCUGGAGUGUCGGAGGG
Molecule: ribosomal RNA, 305 nt
Filed under: uncultured bacterium
Lineage: Bacteria
Description: bacterial SSU rRNA
Rfam family: Bacterial small subunit ribosomal RNA
Source: RNAcentral